RNAcentral lists this ribosomal RNA (465 nucleotides) under uncultured bacterium. RNAcentral's name for it is "bacterial SSU rRNA". It matches the Rfam family "Bacterial small subunit ribosomal RNA", at positions 917 to 1382 of the family's 1533-position model. The record is from RNAcentral.
GGGCCCGCACAAGCGGAGGAACAUGUGGUUUAAUUCGAUGAUACGCGAGGAACCUUACCCGGGCUUGAAUUGCAGAGGAAUGAUUUGGAAACAUGUCAGCCAGUAAUGGUCUCUGUGAAGGUGCUGCAUGGUUGUCGUCAGCUCGUGCCGUGAGGUGUCGGCUUAAGUGCCAUAACGAGCGCAACCCUCAUAUUCAGUUACUAACAGGUAAAGCUGAGGACUCUGGAUAGACUGCCGUCGUAAGAUGCGAGGAAGGUGGGGAUGACGUCAAAUCAGCACGGCCCUUACGUCCGGGGCGACACACGUGUUACAAUGGGGGGUACAGAAGGUUGCUACACAGUGAUGUGAUGCUAAUCCCGAAAGCCUCUCUCAGUUCGGAUCGAAGUCUGCAACCCGACUUCGUGAAGCUGGAUUCGCUAGUAAUCGCGCAUCAGCCAUGGCGCGGUGAAUACGUUCCCGGGCCUU